UGUCCUUUACACUUGUUUUUUCUCUGUUAGUUUCUUCCAAUUUUGAUUCAUUUUUAAACAUUGCUUUUUGCUGUUCCUGACAGCACUGCCCAUAGGGUCUUUUUUAAACAUAGAAGCAGUCAAUAAAAAAGUGGCAAUAGGAAAUGGUGUGUCGAUGUGUGCAUCUGUGUGACAGACCCAAAUGUUGAUGGCCCUGCUGAAUGUUUUGCAAGCUGUCAGAGGUAGUUAUUUUGUAUGUCAGUGAUGUCAAGCAACAGUCUUUAUUUAAGCUAGCAUGAGGAGGAAAAUAUUAUAAGAAAAAAGCACCAUGUACUGUAUAUCAAAGGGAAUGCUGACACUUUAUGUCUCCUGUAGAGCGAUUUACUGUGGGUGUACUCCAACAUACUGUAAUUCUUACUAUAUGACAAAAGAAAAGAAGAUUCAACAAAUGCACUGUGUAAAUAAACAUAUUUCUUGAAGGAAUGAAAAAUGUAUGCAGUGUGGUGCAUUGAAUGAAAUGAGGAGCAAUGACCUCUCUGAUUCCAAAGUACAUAAUAUAUUGAAGGAUCUCUACUUCCAGAUGAAGAUUACCAUGAGCCCUGCACUCUGUAGAAUUCUCAGCACAUUAUUUCAUUCAGUGACCUGUUGAAGCAGAAGUUCCUGACCAUCUACAACAGGACUCAUCCAGCUUAUGUAACACUUCAUUCAGAAAGCUCUUGAAUGCCAGUCCCAAAAUCACUGGAGGAAAACUUCUGGGAUAUAUUGCACCACUUGAGACAUCUGAUGGAAAAUGUGGAAAAUUUCAAUCCCUCUGAACAACAAUGAUGCUGAAGGCAGUGAGAAACAGAGAUGAGUAGGAAUUAAAUGCUUUUGCUUAUCCAAGUUUUGUUCUGGGGAAAGGAAACUCAAGCCCUAGAGUCUUGUGCACCACCUAUACAUAUAAAUGACUCUUGUAAGUCAAUUCAGUGAAAUAUUUCCGCACAGUAAGUAUUGUCUGCGUGUGGGUUUUAAAAUAGACCUCCAUGUUUUCUGUAUAAAUCCUUUUAAGUAAUGGUAGUUAAGCUUCAUUUUUGUAGGCAAAGAAGCCAUGUAAAAGUUGGAGAAUUCAUGCUUAUGUUGGAAAUGACCUGUUAGUUUUCAAGUCUUUUUUAUAAUGUUUCAGUCCCAGUUAUCUUAUGUUAUGCUACUAGAGAAGGGAAACUGAUCCACAUUUUUUUCCUUAGGGAUACAGCUGCUUUCUAAAUUGGAAAUUACAGACUAAAUUGGCAGCUUCUUUGGAUCUGAUACUUUCCUACAUUACUUGAGAGGAUACAGAUUGUAACUAGGUCGUUCAUAAUAGUUACAGUUACAAUAAACUGGAAGGAAAGAACUGACUGUCCAAGUGUCUUGGCACCAGCCCAUUAUCCCUCACAUUAUCAUGUGGGAGACCCAGGUUUGGGAGUUCCCUCUAUUGGCUGAUUAAUAGAACUGCAUUAAUACCGAUCUCAGAACUGACGCAAUCUUCACCUCUCCCAGGAUUAAAUACUGUAAAGGAAUGUGGAUAAGAUCAUGCAGAAUAAGCAGGAAACAGCAUCAGCUUCAGAAUGAAGAUGCAACCCUUUCCCCAUAGCUAUAUAGGAUGGAGGAAGGGAGUAAAAUAACUCUCAUAAAAGUGAAUAGUUCUCAUCAUUGUAUCUUGCAAAAUUUAUAUUGGUGAAAUUAGACAGAUCACAUGAUUCCUAACAUAUAUAUUUAUUGUAGUGUCUUACCAUGCAAAUAUGUUGUAAUGAUAAUGGAAAUGUGCCAAUUUCACAAUACUUCAAAUGUGUAAUCCAUUUUAUGGAAUAUUUGAAAUGUGUUUUUUUCCCUCUUUUUAUAUGGGGUGACAGCAUGGAAAGGCUGAGAACAAACACCAAACGUAUCACUAUAUACAGUAUAGGGGCCUGUCUUAUUCUAAGUAAUAAAUUGGUCCUACUUUAGUUGAGAAACAUAAUAGAAAAACCUGCUAUCAGAGGCCUUAUUGUGUUAUUUAGACACAGCCCAUAGCAAGGGGUGAUGCAGAACCUGACCCGGUUCUGCCUUGAAGAAGCAGAAUACUUCCCAGAGCUCCAAGCUGUGCAGGUGGGGAGGACGUAGCU
Long non-coding RNA from Mauremys mutica (yellowpond turtle), 2096 nucleotides. RefSeq lists it as uncharacterized. The record is from RefSeq and is a predicted model, not a curated record. Lineage: Eukaryota; Metazoa; Chordata; Testudines; Geoemydidae. The transcript has 4 exons.